UACGUAGGUCCCGAGCGUUGUCCGGAUUUAUUGGGCGUAAAGCGACCGCAGGUGGUUUAUUAAGUCUGGUGUAAAAGGCAGUGGCUCAACCAUUGUAUGCAUUGGAAACUGGUAGACUUGAGUGCAGGAGAGGAGAGUGGAAUUCCAUGUGUAGCGGUGAAAUACGUAGAUAUAUGGAGGAACACCGGUGGCGAAAGCGGCUCUCUGGCCUGUAACUGACACUGAGGCUCGAAAGCGUGGGGAGCAAACAGG
Molecule: ribosomal RNA, 252 nt
Filed under: uncultured bacterium
Lineage: Bacteria
Description: partial 16S ribosomal RNA
Rfam family: Bacterial small subunit ribosomal RNA
Source: RNAcentral